This is a ribosomal RNA of Danio rerio (zebrafish), 118 nucleotides long. The record is from Ensembl. Lineage: Eukaryota; Metazoa; Chordata; Actinopteri; Cypriniformes; Danionidae.
AGCCACAGCCAUAUCACCCUACAGCCCGAGACCGGUUACUCACUGAAGCCAAGUAGGGCUGAGCCUGGUCAGUACCUGGAUGGGAGACCAAAAGGGAAAACUAGGUGGGAAGUGGUGU